CAACGGGGAUUGCCCCAGUAACGGCGAGUGAAGCGGCAACAGCUCAGAUUUGGAAUCCGGCGCCCCCCCGGGGCGCCCGAGUUGUAAUCUGCAGAGGAUGCUCCUGGCGCGGCGCCGUCCGAGUUCCCUGGAACGGGACGCCGCAGAGGGUGAGAGCCCCGUACGGUCGGACGCCCAGCCUGUGUGGAGCCCCUUCGGCGAGUCGAGUAGUUUGGGAAUGCUGCUCAAAACGGGAGGUAUACGCCUUCUAAAGCUAAAUACCGGCCAGAGACCGAUAGCGCACAAGUAGAGUGAUCGAAAGAUGAAAAGCACUUUGAAAAGAGGGUUAAACAGUACGUGAAAUUGUUGAAAGGGAAGCGCUCGCGGCCAGACUCCGGCCGGGCGGAUCAGCGGGCGCUCGCGCCCGCGCACUCCGCCCUGCCGGGGCCAGCAUCGGCCCGCGGCGGGGGACAAAGGCGCCGGGAACGUGGCUCCCCAGGGAGUGUUAUAGCCCGGCGCGCAACGCCCCGCGGCGGGCCGAGGUGCGCGCGUCCGCGCAAGGAUGCUGGCGUAAUGGCCACCAGCGACCCGUCUUGAAACACGGACCAAGGAGUCGUCCUCGCAUGCGAGUGUUCGGGCGUCAAACCCGUGCGCGGAAUGAAAGUGAACGCUGGUGGGAGCCCUCCCCCCCGGGGGGGGCGCACCGCCGACCGAUCCCGAAGUUCACGGACGGAUUUGAGUAGGAGCAUGCGGGGCCGGACCCGAAAGAAGGUGAACUAUGCCUGUGUAGGGUGAAGCCAGAGGAAACUCUGGUGGAGGCUCGCAGCGGUUCUGACGUGCAAAUCGAUCGUCAAACAUGGGCAUGGGGGC
Molecule: ribosomal RNA, 849 nt
Filed under: Ophiocordyceps contiispora
Lineage: Eukaryota; Fungi; Ascomycota; Sordariomycetes; Hypocreales; Ophiocordycipitaceae
Description: Ophiocordyceps sp. DXT-2022d partial large subunit ribosomal RNA
Rfam family: Eukaryotic large subunit ribosomal RNA
Source: RNAcentral